Molecule: ribosomal RNA, 268 nt
Filed under: uncultured Smithella sp.
Lineage: Bacteria; Pseudomonadati; Thermodesulfobacteriota; Syntrophia; Syntrophales; Smithellaceae
Description: partial 16S ribosomal RNA
Rfam family: Bacterial small subunit ribosomal RNA
Source: RNAcentral
UUGCCAGCAUUCAGUUGGGCACUUUAAAGAGACUGCCGGUGUUAAACCGGAGGAAGGUGGGGAUGACGUCAAGUCCUCAUGGCCUUUAUGCUUAGGGCUACACACGUGCUACAAUGGGUGGUACAAAAAGAAGCCAACUCGCGAGAGCGCGCCCAAUCUCAAAAAAGCCAUCCUCAGUUCGGAUUGGAGUCUGCAACUCGACUCCAUGAAGUUGGAAUCGCUAGUAAUCGCGGAUCAGCAUGCCGCGGUGAAUACGUUCCCGGGCCCU